Molecule: ribosomal RNA, 497 nt
Filed under: uncultured bacterium
Lineage: Bacteria
Description: partial 16S ribosomal RNA
Rfam family: Bacterial small subunit ribosomal RNA
Source: RNAcentral
GAUGAACGCUGGCGGCGUGCCUAAUACAUGCAAGUCGAGCGAACAGACGAGGAGCUUGCUCCUCUGACGUUAGCGGCGGACGGGUGAGUAACACGUGGAUAACCUACCUAUAAGACUGGGAUAACUUCGGGAAACCGGAGCUAAUACCGGAUAAUAUAUUGAACCGCAUGGUCCAAUAGUGAAAGACGGUUUUGCUGUCACUUAUAGAUGGAUCCGCGCCGCAUUAGCUAGUUGGUAAGGUAACGGCUUACCAAGGCGACGAUGCGUAGCCGACCUGAGAGGGUGAUCGGCCACACUGGAACUGAGACACGGUCCAGACUCCUACGGGAGGCAGCAGUAGGGAAUCUUCCGCAAUGGGCGAAAGCCUGACGGAGCAACGCCGCGUGAGUGAUGAAGGUCUUCGGAUCGUAAAACUCUGUUAUUAGGGAAGAACAAAUGUGUAAGUAACUAUGCACGUCUUGACGGUACCUAAUCAGAAAGCCACGGCUAACUACGUG